CGAGUGGAAGCGGGAAGAGCACAAAUUUUAAAUCUACCUGGGUUUCCAGGUCGAGUUGUAAUUUGAAGAAGUGUUUUUUACUUUCCGGGUUGGGUUAAAUCCUUUGGGAUAAGGUAUCAUGGAGGGUGAGAAUCCCGUGUAUACCAACCGCAGGAUUGUUUAAUAUACACUUUCUAAGAGUCGAGUUGUUUGGGAAUGCAGCUCUAAAUGGGUGGUAAAUUUCACCUAAUGCUAAAUAUAAGCGAGAGACCGAUAGCGAACAAGUACCGUGAGGGAAAGAUGAAAAGAACUUUGAAAAGAGAGUUAAAUAGUACGUGAAAUUGUUGAAAGGGAAACGGUUGAAGUCAGUCAUGCCGGCGGGAAUCAACUUAGGGGAAACUCUGAGUGCACUUCUUCGCUUGGCAGGUUAGCGUCGAUUUUGGAUGUCAUAAAAUGACUGGGGGAAGGUAGCUCUUUCGGGAGUGUUAAGCCCUUGGUAGAUGUGAUGUCUGGGAUCGAGGAUUGCAACGGAUACCUUUUGGGCUAGCCGCCUAGUCUCUAAUACGAAGUUGGGUUAUGGACCAGCACGCUGACUGUGAUCUGAUUUUCGGUUAAAAGAUUAGAGCGAGUGUAAAUUCGUAAGG
RNAcentral lists this ribosomal RNA (623 nucleotides) under Glomeromycotina sp. RNAcentral describes it as "eukaryotic LSU rRNA". It matches the Rfam family "Eukaryotic large subunit ribosomal RNA", at positions 90 to 622 of the family's 3401-position model. The record is from RNAcentral. Lineage: Eukaryota; Fungi; Glomeromycota.